Molecule: ribosomal RNA, 808 nt
Filed under: uncultured Leptotrichia sp.
Lineage: Bacteria; Fusobacteriati; Fusobacteriota; Fusobacteriia; Fusobacteriales; Leptotrichiaceae
Description: bacterial SSU rRNA
Rfam family: Bacterial small subunit ribosomal RNA
Source: RNAcentral
CUAGCCAAGGCGGACGGGUGAGUAACGCGUAAGGAACUUGCCCUGCAGUCAGGGAUAACAGACGGAAACGACUGAUAAGACCUGGUAAAGUCAGGCGGACUCAUGUCCAGCCUGAUGAAAAGAGAUGCUGCAGGAGAGCCUUGCGUCCUAUUAGCUUGUUGGUGGGGUAACGGCCCACCAAGGCGAUGAUAGGUAGCCGGCCUGAGAGGGUGGACGGCCACAAGGGGACUGAGAUACGGCCCUUACUCCUACGGGAGGCAGCAGUGGGGAAUAUUGGACAAUGGGGGCAACCCUGAUCCAGCAAUUCUGUGUGCACGAUGAAGGUUUUCGGAUUGUAAAGUGCUUUCAGCAGGGAAGAAAAAAAUGACGGUACCUGCAGAAGAAGCGACGGCUAAAUACGUGCCAGCAGCCGCGGUAAUACGUAUGUCGCAAGCGUUAUCCGGAAUUAUUGGGCAUAAAGGGCAUCUAGGCGGCCAGAUAAGUCUGGGGUGAAAACUUGCGGCUCAACCGCAAGCCUGCCCUGGAAACUAUGUGGCUAGAGUACUGGAGAGGUGGACGGAACUGCACGAGUAGAGGUGAAAUUCGUAGAUAUGUGCAGGAAUGCCGAUGAUGAAGAUAGUUCACUGGACGGUAACUGACGCUGAAGUGCGAAAGCUAGGGGAGCAAACAGGAUUAGAUACCCUGGUAGUCCUAGCUGUAAACGAUGAUUACUGGGUGUGGGCAUGAAGAGUGUCCGUGCCGAAGCUAAUGCGAUAAGUAAUCCGCCUGGGGAGUACGGCCGCAAGGCUAAACUCAAAGGAAUUGACGG